Molecule: signal recognition particle RNA, 95 nt
Filed under: Arcanobacterium hippocoleae
Lineage: Bacteria; Bacillati; Actinomycetota; Actinomycetes; Actinomycetales; Actinomycetaceae
Description: signal recognition particle sRNA small type
Rfam family: Bacterial small signal recognition particle RNA
About the family: The signal recognition particle (SRP) is a universally conserved ribonucleoprotein involved in the co-translational targeting of proteins to membranes. Archaeal SRP consists of a 7S RNA and homologues of the eukaryotic SRP19 and SRP54 proteins.
Source: RNAcentral
CAUGGCUCUCCACGUGGCGUCAUCUUCGGAACUCCCCCAGGGCAGGAAUGCAGCAAGGGUACGAAGCUCUGGCGGGUGCGUGGAGAGUCCUAUUU